Molecule: ribosomal RNA, 425 nt
Filed under: uncultured bacterium
Lineage: Bacteria
Description: bacterial SSU rRNA
Rfam family: Bacterial small subunit ribosomal RNA
Source: RNAcentral
GGAAUAUUGCGCAAUGGACGAAAGUCUGACGCAGCGACGCCGCGUGAGGGAGGAAGCCUUUCGGGGUGUAAACCACUGUCAGAGGGGAAGAACGCCGGCUAGUCGAACAGGCUAGUCGGGUGACGGUACCCUCAAAGGAAGCGCCGGCUAACUCCGUGCCAGCAGCCGCGGUAAGACGGAGGGCGCAAGCGUUGUUCGGAAUUACUGGGCGUAAAGCGCGGGCAGGCGGUCUGUUAAGUCGUUUGUGAAAAUCCGGGGCUCAACCCCGUGAAAUGCAGACGAUACUGGCGGACUAGAGAAUGGUAGAGGCUAGCGGAAUUCCUGGUGUAGCGGUGGAAUGCGUAGAUAUCAGGAAGAACACCUGUGGCGAAGGCGGCUAGCUGGGCCAUUUCUGACGCUCAUCCGCGAAAGCGUGGGGAGCAAAC